AUCUACAGGCUUAACACAUGCAAGUCGAGGGGCAUCAGGAAGAAAGCUUGCUUUCUUUGCUGGCGACCGGCGCACGGGUGAGUAACACGUAUCCAACCUGCCCUUUACUCGGGGAUAGCCUUUCGAAAGAAAGAUUAAUACCCGAUAGUAUAAUGAUUCCGCAUGGUUUCAUUAUUAAAGGAUUCCGGUAAAGGAUGGGGAUGCGUUCCAUUAGGUUGUUGGUGAGGUAACGGCCCACCAAGCCUUCGAUGGAUAGGGGUUCUGAGAGGAAGGUCCCCCACAUUGGAACUGAGACACGGUCCAAACUCCUACGGGAGGCAGCAGUGGGGAAUAUUGGUCAAUGGGCGCUAGCCUGAACCAGCCAAGUAGCGUGAAGGAUGAAGGCUCUAUGGGUCGUAAACUUCUUUUAUAUAAGAAUAAAGUGCAGUAUGUAUACUGUUUUGUAUGUAUUAUAUGAAUAAGGAUCGGCUAACUCCGUGCCAGCAGCCGCGGUAAUACGGAGGAUCCGAGCGUUAUCCGGAUUUAUUGGGUUUAAAGGGAGCGUAGGUGGACUGGUAAGUCAGUUGUGAAAGUUUGCGGCUCAACCGUAAAAUUGCAGUUGAUACUGUCAGUCUUGAGUACAGUAGAGGUGGGCGGAAUUCGUGGUGUAGCGGUGAAAUGCUUAGAUAUCACGAAGAACUCCGAUUGCGAAGGCAGCUCACUGGACUGCAACUGACACUGAUGCUCGAAAGUGUGGGUAUCAAACAGGAUUAGAUACCCUGGUAGUCCACACAGUAAACGAUGAAUACUCGCUGUUUGCGAUAUACAGUAAGCGGCCAAGCGAAAGCAUUAAGUAUUCCACCUGGGGAGUACGCCGGCAACGGUGAAACUCAAAGGAAUUGACGGGGGCCCGCACAAGCGGAGGAACAUGUGGUUUAAUUCGAUGAUACGCGAGGAACCUUACCCGGGCUUAAAUUGCAGUGGAAUGAUGUGGAAACAUGUCAGUGGGCAAUCACCGCUGUGAAGGUGCUGCAUGGUUGUCGUCAGCUCGUGCCGUGAGGUGUCGGCUUAAGUGCCAUAACGAGCGCAACCCUUAUCUUCAGUUACUAACAGGUCAUGCUGAGGACUCUGGAGAGACUGCCGUCGUAAGAUGUGAGGAAGGUGGGGAUGACGUCAAAUCAGCACGGCCCUUACGUCCGGGGCUACACACGUGUUACAAUGGGGGGUACAGAAGGCAGCUAGCGGGUGACCGUAUGCUAAUCCCAAAAGCCUCUCUCAGUUCGGAUCGAAGUCUGCAACCCGACUUCGUGAAGCUGGAUUCGCUAGUAAUCGCGCAUCAGCCACGGCGCGGUGAAUACGUUCCCGGGCCUUGUACACACCGCCCGUCAAGCCAUGGGAGCCGGGGGUACCUGAAGUACGUAACCGCAAGGAUCGUCCUAGGGUAAAACUGGUGACUGGGGCUA
This 1442-nucleotide ribosomal RNA is filed under the name uncultured organism. Its description in RNAcentral is "SSU rRNA". It matches the Rfam family "Bacterial small subunit ribosomal RNA". The record is from RNAcentral.